GAUGAACGCUGGCGGCGUGCCUAAUACAUGCAAGUCGAGCGAACGGACGAGAAGCUUGCUUCUCUGAUGUUAGCGGCGGACGGGUGAGUAACACGUGGAUAACCUACCUAUAAGACUGGGAUAACUUCGGGAAACCGGAGCUAAUACCGGAUAAUAUUUUGAACCGCAUGGUUCAAAAGUGAAAGACGGUCUUGCUGUCACUUAUAGCUGGAUCCGCGCUGCAUUAGCUAGUUGGUAAGGUAACGGCUUACCAAGGCAACGAUGCAUAGCCGACCUGAGAGGGGGAUCGCCCACACUGGAACUGAGACACGGUCCAGACUCCUACGGGAGGCAGCAGUAGGGAAUCGUCCGCAAUGGGCGAAAGCCUGACGGAGCAACGCCGCGUGAGUGAUGAAGGUCUUCGGAUCGUAAAACUCUGUUAUUAGGGAAGAACAUAUGUGUAAGUAACUGUGCACAUCUUGACGGUACCUAAUCAGAAAGCCACGGCUAACUACGUG
This 497-nucleotide ribosomal RNA is filed under the name uncultured bacterium. Its description in RNAcentral is "partial 16S ribosomal RNA". It matches the Rfam family "Bacterial small subunit ribosomal RNA", at positions 28 to 507 of the family's 1533-position model. The record is from RNAcentral.